RNAcentral lists this ribosomal RNA (1207 nucleotides) under Blautia obeum. RNAcentral describes it as "partial 23S ribosomal RNA". It matches the Rfam family "Bacterial large subunit ribosomal RNA", at positions 433 to 1661 of the family's 2925-position model. Lineage: Bacteria; Bacillati; Bacillota; Clostridia; Lachnospirales; Lachnospiraceae. The record is from RNAcentral.
CCUGCGGGAAGUAAGGGGGACCACCCCCUAAGGCUAAAUACCACUUAGUGACCGAUAGCGCAUAGUACUGUGAAGGAAAGGUGAAAAGGACCCCGGGAGGGGAGUGAAAGAGAACCUGAAACCCUGUGUCUACAAGCUGUGGGAGUGCUUUAUAUGCACGACCGCGUACUUUUUGUAGAACGGUCCGGCGAGUUGCGCUCACUGGCAAGGUUAAGCACCGAAGGUGCGGAGCCGUAGGGAAACCAAGUCUUAAGAGGGCCAGAGUCAGUGGGGGCAGACCCGAAACCGGGUGAUCUAUCCAUGUCCAGGUUGAAGCUGCCGUAAGAGGCAGUGGAGGACCGAACCCACAUCCGUUGAAAAGGGUGGGGAUGAGGUGUGGAUAGGGGAGAAAUUCCAAUCGAACCCGGAGAUAGCUGGUUCUCCUCGAAAUAGCUUUAGGGCUAGCCUUGGUAGAGAUUUGCGGAGGUAGAGCACUGAAUUUCCUAGGGGGCGUCAAAGCCUACCGAAGAAUAUCAAACUCCGAAUGCCGUGUAAUUGCUUACCAGGAGUCAGACUGCACGAGAUAAGUUGGGCAGUCAAAAGGGAAAGAGCCCAGACCUUCAGUUAAGGUCCCAAAGUGUGCGUUAAGUGGAAAAGGAUGUGGGAUUUCGAAGACAACCAGGAUGUUGGCUCAGAAGCAGCCAUUCAUUCAAAGAGUGCGUAAUAGCUCACUGGUCGAGAGGUCCUGCGCCGAAAAUGUCCGGGGCUGAAACGCACCACCGAAACUAAGGGAUCCGUAAGGAUCGGUAGAGGAGCAUUGCAUGCGGGAUGAAGCAGUACCGUAAGGAGCUGUGGACUGCAUGGAAGAGAGAAUGCCGGAAUGAGUAGCGAGAUAGAGGUGAGAAUCCUCUAGGCCGAAUAUCCAAGGUUUCCAGGGUAAAGCUGAUCUGCCUGGGUAAGUCGGGGCCUAAGGUGAGGACGAGAGUCGUAGCCGAUGGACAACAGGUGGAGAUUCCUGUACUAUGAUAUGACAGAACUGUGGGGACACGUGCAGAGAGCGGAAGCCGGGAAUGGGAUCCCGGUGCAAGCGAGGUACCAGCCGCAUUGGAAAAACCGUGCGGCAAUGGGAAGACGUGAUGCGGAGUGAAGUUUAGUAAUGAAGUCCGUGAGCUGUGCGUCAAGAAAAGCCGCUAUUGUUCAUACCAUACCCGUACCGUAAACCGACACA